GUCUACAGCCAAGCUACCCUGAACAAGCCCGAUCCCAUCUGAUCUUGGAAACUAAGCAGGGAUGGGCCAGUUAGUACUUGGAUGGGAGAUCACCUAGGAAGACCAGGAGCUGUAGGAG
This 118-nucleotide ribosomal RNA is filed under the name Pteropus alecto (black flying fox). The record is from RNAcentral. Lineage: Eukaryota; Metazoa; Chordata; Mammalia; Chiroptera; Pteropodidae.